Molecule: long non-coding RNA, 2061 nt
Organism: Poecilia latipinna (sailfin molly)
Lineage: Eukaryota; Metazoa; Chordata; Actinopteri; Cyprinodontiformes; Poeciliidae
Exons: 7
Source: RefSeq, a predicted model, not a curated record
CUCCAACCACAGUAUCUCCAACCUCAAUCACAGCUGCUUCAACCACAGCAGCUCCGUCCACAACAACAGAAGCUCCAACUACAACCACAUCAGGUCCGUCCACAGUAUCUCCAACUACAACAACAGCAGCUCCAACCACAGUAUCUCCAACCUCAAUCACAGCUGCUUCAACCACAGCAGCUCCGUCCACAACAACAGAAGCUCCAACUACAACCACAUCAGGUCCGUCCACAGUAUCUCCAACUACAACAACAGCAGCUCCAACCACAGUAUCUCCAACCUCAAUCACAGCUGCUUCAACCACAGCAGCUCCGUCCACAACAACAGAAGCUCCAACUACAACCACAUCAGGUCCGUCCACAGUAUCUCCAACUACAACAACAGCAGCUCCAACCACAGUAUCUCCAACCUCAAUCACAGCUGCUUCAACCACAACAGCUCCAACCACAACCACAGCUCCUCCAACCACAAACACACCUCUUCAAUCCACAACAGCUGCUCCAACUACAACAACAGCAUCUCCAUCCACAACCACUGCUGCUCCAACUACAACCAUAGCAGUUCCAACAACAACCACAGCUGCUCCAACCAUACCAACAGCAGCCCCAUCUCUAUCCACAAUUGUUCCCCCAAAUCCACCCACAAAUGCCCCCACAGAGACAACUACUUUAAAAACUACAACUGAACCUCCUGCUCCAGUGUAUGUUCUUGCAGCAACCAUUAUUGAACCAUAUGAUGUACAACUAGAAAAUAAAUCCAGCAAAUUGUUUAAAGAUCUUGAGAAAAAAGUCACAGAAACAUAUGACAUCAUCUACAGAAAGAAGUUUGGAUUCCGCUUCAUUCGUAGUUUUGUCAUUGCAUUUAGAAGUUCUCUACUACUUUUUACACGAAUGAAUAGUACUGAAGCAGAAGUGGGGUUGGAGUUUAAUAAAACUACUCCUGCUGAAAAUCUCCCAGAAAAUGAAGAUGUACAACAAACCUUAGUCGACGCAAUAAACAGCACUACGUUCAACGUUACAUUCAUUCCUAGCACCAUCAGUCUAAUAAAAACACCUUUGGCAACCUCUGCUCCCACUACAAAUACGACAGCUACCACUGCAACUAUGACAACCACCACAACAACAACUACAACUAAACCAACCACCACAACAACAACUACAACUAAACCAACCACCACAACAACAACUACAACUAAACCAACCACCACAACAACUACAACUAAACCAACCACCACUACAACUGUGGAGUCAACAGUGACAAAGCGACUGACUUUUAGGUCGGCAGGAGAGACAUUUACCACCGAGUUGCUGGACCCAAAAUCUACAGCUUUCAUAAAUCGAGCUGACCUUUUGAAGACCCAUCUUGUACCACUCUUCCAGGCAGCGUUCUCUUCUUACCGCAAUUUCAUUGUGAUUUCAUUCAGUAAUGGAUCAAUCAUCAACAACAUUGACCUUGAAUUUGAAACAGCAUCCCAACCUAAUAACGCCCAAAUCAGAGAUGUUUUGGUGAAAGCAAAUUCAACCGUCACAGCUUUCAACAUUGACAUCACUUCCAUUUUUGUGGAUGGCGCACAAACAUCAAGUGGAACAAGCCACACAAUCAGCCUCAUCACUGCAUUCAGCUUGAUCCUGUUGUCAUGGCUUCUUUCAACACAGCAAUAACGUCUCUGCUGGUUUCCAGAGGAAAAUCUGCAUGAAAAUCUCAAUUAUUGCUAGUAUGAACAAGAAUGUUGUUCUAAUUCCAGACCAAGAGUCACUUUGAACUUUAAAACAUUCAUUGAAACUUGAUAAUUUCCUCAUGUCAAUUUUGUUUUAUUUAUUUAUGCAAAACUAAUUAUUCUGUGUCACUGAAUUAAUUUAUUAUCUUUAAAAUUAAACAUGAAGGUAUUUCUUGAAGGAUUAUUUAGUUUGGUGAAUAUUUCUCUCAAUAAAUAUUGCAAGAUUUACCAAAAAUAAGCUGUCUGAGCAAGGUAUUGUAUGAUUGUCCAGUUUUUCUUUUCCUUUUAAUUGUAUUUAUAACACAAAGUAUUCUGUAAAGUGUAUACCUGUCAGUUUAAUAAAA